Molecule: ribosomal RNA, 313 nt
Filed under: uncultured eukaryote
Lineage: Eukaryota
Description: partial 18S ribosomal RNA
Rfam family: Eukaryotic small subunit ribosomal RNA
Source: RNAcentral
CCCUUAGAUGUUCUGGGCCACACGCGUGCUACAAUGGCAAAAUCAACGAGUAUACCUUUGUCGACAGACAUGGGAAAUCUUUUCAGUUCUUGCCGUGAUGGGGCUAGACCCUUGUAAUUGUUGGUCUCCAACGAGGAAUUCCUAGUAAACGCAAGUCAUUAUCUUGCAUUGAUUACGUCCCUGCCCUUUGUACACACCGCCCGUCGCACCUACCGAUUGAAUGGUCCGGUGAAGUCUUCGGACUGGCAGCAUGUAUGUGCUUGCCGGGAAGUUGAGUAAACCUUACCAUUUAGAGGAAGGUGAAGUCGUAACA